RNAcentral lists this unclassified non-coding RNA (502 nucleotides) under Candida tropicalis. RNAcentral's name for it is "ITS1". The stretch from base 144 to 297 matches the Rfam family "5.8S ribosomal RNA". The record is from RNAcentral. Lineage: Eukaryota; Fungi; Ascomycota; Pichiomycetes; Serinales; Debaryomycetaceae.
AAAAAGGAAUUUGCUUAUUGCACCACAUGUGUUUUUUAUUGAACAAAUUUCUUUGGUGGCGGGAGCAAUCCUACCGCCAGAGGUUAUAACUAAACCAAACUUUUUAUUUACAGUCAAACUUGAUUUAUUAUUACAAUAGUCAAAACUUUCAACAACGGAUCUCUUGGUUCUCGCAUCGAUGAAGAACGCAGCGAAAUGCGAUACGUAAUAUGAAUUGCAGAUAUUCGUGAAUCAUCGAAUCUUUGAACGCACAUUGCGCCCUUUGGUAUUCCAAAGGGCAUGCCUGUUUGAGCGUCAUUUCUCCCUCAAACCCCCGGGUUUGGUGUUGAGCAAUACGCUAGGUUUGUUUGAAAGAAUUUACGUGGAAACUUAUUUUAAGCGACUUAGGUUUAUCCAAAACGCUUAUUUUGCUAGUGGCCACCACAAUUUAUUUCAUAACUUUGACCUCAAAUCAGGUAGGACUACCCGCUGAACUUAAGCAUAUCAAUAAGCGGAGGAAAAG